UGGCUCAGGAUGAACGCUGGCGGCGCGCUAACACAUGCAAGUCGAACGGUUAAAGCACCUCCGGGUGUGCAUAAAGUGGCGAACGGCUGAGUAACACGUGGGCAACCUGCCCCCCGCACCGGGAUAGCCUCGGGAAACCGUGGGUAAUACCGGAUACUCCGCCACCCCCGCAUGGGGGAGGCGGGAAAGCACAUACGGCGGGGGAUGGGCCCGCGGCCUGUUAGCUCGUUGGCGGGGUAACGGCCCACCAAGGCGAUUAUGGGUAGCCGGGUUGAGAGACCGACCGGCCAGAUUGGGACUGAGACACGGCCCAGACUCCUACGGGAGGCAGCAGUGGGGAAUCUUGCACAAUGGGCGAAAGCCUGAUGCAAGCGACGCCGCGUGCGGGACGAAGGCCCUCGGGUUGUAAACCGCUUUCAGCAGGGACGAGGCGAGAGUGACGGUACCUGCAGAAGAAGCCCCGGCUAACUACGUGCCAGCAGCUGC
RNAcentral lists this ribosomal RNA (486 nucleotides) under uncultured bacterium. RNAcentral describes it as "bacterial SSU rRNA". It matches the Rfam family "Bacterial small subunit ribosomal RNA", at positions 20 to 518 of the family's 1533-position model. The record is from RNAcentral.